UUUUUUGAGACAGUGUCUCAUUCCAUCACCCAGGAACACCUUGGCUCAUUGCAACUUCUGACCCGGCCUAGAUUAAAGUAACAAAGCCAUAUUAUUGAGGGAUAGAAGCUAGAAGUAGAGAUAGCUGCUGAAGUAUGACAGGAUGGGAAGGAGCCUGCCUGAGAUAUCAAGAAAGAAUUAACACAGUCAGGCAACUCAUGGGAAAUGUCCUCUUUAAGCCUUCUUAGCAUUUCGGUUAUGCUGAUGUCACCAUACUUUUUGCUUUUUCACUAAUGGACUACAAGCUUCAUGAAGGACUCGAGCAUAUCUGAUUUGUUUCUUGUUUGUCAUUCUUUCUCAUAUGUAUAUUUGCAUAUAUUUGAAUGAAUGAAUGGUUAUCAGGUCACUGGCUAUGUAGAAUUGUAGCUCAGGGCUAUUUAAAGGGACAGAUAAUUUAAUGUUCAAAAUUAUUUGUUAGAGCAAAUUUAUUUUGGGAGAGUAUUAUAGCGACAGUGUUCUAGUAACAAACAAUAUGUAAAAACAGUAAAAAAAAGAAAGAUUUUAAUAUCUGUAAGAACGGUAAAAAAAUAUAGAUUUCAAUAUCUUUUAAGAGAUGAACAAACUAUUCAAUCCCAUUCACUGCAAGAAAAGCAUAGUCAUUUUUUGAUUUUUAUUUACUAAAUAAAACCGCAUCUUAAUUUGCUUUGAGUUUCUGAAUCUUCAACUGCUGUAGUUUGAGGAUCCAAAAUUUUAAUAGCAAAAGUGGCUUAUCUGCACAGACAUGUUCAGAGAACCAAAGAGAAGGAUCAGACACUUUGAAGUCAUAGCAUCCUUUUACACUUAGUUGUACACUAGGGUGUACUAAUCCACAAUUUCUUCUCCUUCUUAAAGAACAAAGAAGCUGACAGAAACAGCUCUCUAGGAUUAGUUCACAAUUACCUUAUUUCUCAGAUGUUUUUUUAAAAAACAGAGUAAAACAUACAUUUCUAAAACACAGAUGGCUAAAAAAGAGAUUAAUCUGUAGAAGUGUAGAGUAAGGAAUUGGCAUUUAUUCCUGUCUUCCAUAGCAUAAUUUCAGGAAAAGCCAAGUAAAUCAUUCAAGGUCUCUUCUGAAGGCCAUUAUAUUUUAAAUAACUGAUUAGGGCCAAGACUCGGUACUUUUAAGAAUCAUGAGAUUCUCAAAAUAUUUUUAAAUGGGUG
This 1179-nucleotide long non-coding RNA is filed under the name Callithrix jacchus (white-tufted-ear marmoset). RNAcentral's name for it is "lncRNA (ENSCJAG00000077954.1)". The record is from RNAcentral. Lineage: Eukaryota; Metazoa; Chordata; Mammalia; Primates; Cebidae.